CUGUACAGUUCAGUAGUUUGAUCCUGGCUCAAGACGAACGCUGGCGGCAGGCUUAACACGUGCAAGUCGAGCGCCCCGCAAGGGGAGCGGCAGACGGGUGAGUAACGCGUAGGAAUCUACCCUUUUCUACGGAAUAACGCAGGGAAACUUGUGCUAAUACCGUAUGUGUCCUUCGGGAGAAAGAUUUAUCGGGAAAGGAUGAGCCCGCGUUGGAUUAGCUAGUUGGUGGGGUAAAGGCCUACCAAGGCGACGAUCCAUAGCUGGUCUGAGAGGAUGAUCAGCCACAUUGGGACUGAGACACGGCCCAA
This 308-nucleotide ribosomal RNA is filed under the name uncultured bacterium. RNAcentral describes it as "partial 16S ribosomal RNA". It matches the Rfam family "Bacterial small subunit ribosomal RNA", at positions 1 to 334 of the family's 1533-position model. The record is from RNAcentral.